Molecule: ribosomal RNA, 292 nt
Filed under: uncultured bacterium
Lineage: Bacteria
Description: partial 16S ribosomal RNA
Rfam family: Bacterial small subunit ribosomal RNA
Source: RNAcentral
GUGUCAGCAGCCGCGGUAAUACGGAGGGGGCGAGCGUUGUUCGGAAUUACUGGGUGUAAAGGGUGCGUAGGCGGCUCGUUAAGUCUGAUGUGAAAGCCCUGGGCUCAACUCAGGAAUGGCAUUGGAAACUGGCGAGCUGGAGUAUCGGAGAGGGAAGCGGAAUUCCUGGUGUAGCGGUGAAAUGCGUAGAUACCAGGAGGAACACCGGUGGCGAAGGCGGCUUCCUGGCCGAAUACUGACGCUGAGGCACGAAAGCGUGGGGAGCAAACGGGAUUAGAAACCCUAGUAGUCC